GACGUAGGGCGCAAGCGUUGUCCGGAAUUAUUGGGCGUAAAGAGCUCGUAGGCGGUUUGUCGCGUCUGCCGUGAAAGUCCGGGGCUCAACUCCGGAUCUGCGGUGGGUACGGGCAGACUAGAGUGAUGUAGGGGAGACUGGAAUUCCUGGUGUAGCGGUGAAAUGCGCAGAUAUCAGGAGGAACACCGAUGGCGAAGGCAGGUCUCUGGGCAUUAACUGACGCUGAGGAGCGAAAGCAUGGGGAGCGAACAGG
This 253-nucleotide ribosomal RNA is filed under the name uncultured bacterium. RNAcentral's name for it is "partial 16S ribosomal RNA". It matches the Rfam family "Bacterial small subunit ribosomal RNA", at positions 524 to 776 of the family's 1533-position model. The record is from RNAcentral.